Molecule: unclassified non-coding RNA, 289 nt
Filed under: fungal sp.
Lineage: Eukaryota; Fungi
Description: partial internal transcribed spacer region
Rfam family: Eukaryotic small subunit ribosomal RNA (bases 1-46)
Source: RNAcentral
AAGUCGUAACAAGGUUUCCGUAGGUGAACCUGCGGAAGGAUCAUUAUCACGUAUCCACGUAUCACCCCGGCGCACGCGUUACCCUGCUCCUACGACCAGCGUGUGAGCUUCGCAUCCGUUGCGAAGCGAACACCAGUAGGACACUCCUCAUACACACAUUUCACACACUUUUUGCUAGUUGACUUUUUUAAUGUUGAGCUUUGCCGUAAAAUUCAUUUUUUACCUUCGCUCACACGUUUAUCUAUUUAAACGCGAAAUACAACUCUUAGCAAUGGAUAUCUAGGUUCUC